CUUUGGAGGGAGGAGAGCUGCCGAAGGAAAAUAUACUAAUAAGCCAGAGGCAAAGGAGGCACUUAGUAACAAGAAAUCUUCUGGAAAAAAAACUUAGGAAUCAGAUUCUAGCAAAGAUAUAAGCUGGAAUUUUCAAGCUCUGUUGUUUUCAGAGGUUGUAAGGACAUUUCAGAGCCUCCUACUCUGAGAGUUCUCACAGUCCUGGGCGGCAUUCACACAAACAGGUGCCGUGUUUUGGAGUAGUGUGUCUGGUACCUGUCACCUUUAACCAACAAUUACUGAGCACCUACUGGGUGCCAGAUACUCCGCCAGGCUCUGAGAGGACAGAAAUGCGUAACACACAAUUCCUGCUCUCAAGGAGGCCUUUCAAGAAGAAGAGAGUAGAAAAAAUUCACACAUUUCCCCCAUCCCAAAAUGACAUCGAUCUGAAGAAAGGAAAAGAAAAAGGUAACUCCCAAUGUGUCUUUAAACAUUUGACUCAAAUUUGAGAUUUGGGGUUCGGCAAUCAGCUGAACCUCUUCCUCUCCUUUAUGUGCGCGCACACACACACACACACACACACAUUCUGUAGCAUGCGUGUCCUCAUUCAGCUGGCCAGCGAAGGAUAGGCAUAGUUGUUGCUGGCCCUGCCGGUGCUACAAUUUUGAUCAGACAGGUAUUAGAAGUUAAUUUCAGAAACAAAAUCAUAGCAGUUUCUGGCACAUAAGCCAACUCCAACCUAACCUUUCGAUGAGGAAAGGGUAAAGGAAUCUGAUAAACACAUUUAAUUUCCUGUGAAAUGAACAGGGAUUUAGAAACUAAGAGGGAAGUGGGAUUUAGAUACACACAUUUUGGGUUUUAUCUCACAGGACACAUAUAGCCCUUUUGUUCCAUUUGUCAUAGUUCCAGGCCCACCGGGUCUCACCUACCUUUGACAUGCACCUCCAUUACCUAUCUAAGCCUCAACCUCCCAGGGUCUCCCUCUGGACUCUCCCCUUCCUAGGGGAAAGAAGGCAAAGCAACACUGUUGUGAUGUGAUGGCCAGGACCGGGGUCACGUGGCCCACUCCAGAUCUGUCCCAGUGGUCACUGUCCCAGGUUCCUGUCCCACUUUCACACUUUGUGUAAACAUGAUACAAUUAUUUCUGGGGGAGAAAGGAGACUCUAAAAGGGACCCCUUUGUUACUCUUCAUGCACUGCUCCCCCAACCCCAGACCUGUUCACUUGAUCCUGGAAGGAAGAAACAAACUCUUAUUCCCUCUCAGGCUUCUGCUGAUAGUUGUUCUUCA
Molecule: long non-coding RNA, 1267 nt
Filed under: Macaca mulatta (Rhesus monkey)
Lineage: Eukaryota; Metazoa; Chordata; Mammalia; Primates; Cercopithecidae
Description: lncRNA (ENSMMUG00000057363.1)
Source: RNAcentral